CAGAGAAACUCAGAAAAUUGUUGUGAAUGUUUUGGGUUUUUUUAAGCCAUGCUCUGAAGCUCAGCCUUGUUCCCUUGAGUACAGUUGUGUUACCAAGCAGUGUUUCUCUCCAGUCACAUUAAGAAUCACCCCAUGUCACACUGAGGAGAGACCCUUACCCCAGGUUAACUCUGCCCCAUCUGCUUCAGUCUCUGCAGGAAUUCAGAGUGUGAUCAGCUUAUGUACAGGUAGCCUUGAAGAGCCUCACAGUAGACUUUGAUGCCAGAGCUACAGCAGGUGCCAAACACUACUGAAGCACUGCAAGUACACAAAACUUCAAGGUAACAGAAAGGCUUUGGCUUCAAGGCUUCCCUCCAGCACUGCUGGCCCCUGCACAUGGAGGAAGCAGAAUCUCUGCUGUGUGUCAUGUUCUACAGGUGUUUCUAUGCUCCAAAGAGUGGUUUUAGUCUCAAAUUUAAGGUCAAAUGCCAUGGUUGGGUAACACUGCUUGUAGAGUAUGCCUGACAAAAUGACAGAACAAGUCUGUGGUGGAUGUGGGUGGAUUUCUCAAAGCCUCUCUUGUGCCCUGCUCAGGGUUAGAGGUGCAACAGGCCAACCCUGGGCACUGACACUUCCCUUGCUGGUGUAACUCCUUCAGAGGAUGCUUCAGUGGUCAGGAAUUCAGGUGUGCAUCCACCUAAACUUCUAUUUCUAUGCUGACCUAACCUGUAGGAUCUUGCCUCCUAUCUGGGAAUUUCUUAUUUCUGCUCUUAACAUGAUUUCACAGAAGCAAAUUCCUCUAUUUCUGCCAGAAGGCAUCACACUCGUGGGUAGCAUACAAACACUGGGGGAGUUUUGGCCUAGGAAAUGAUGGCUUUGGUUUGGGAUCCACUUUCUCAAAUCCACAAGGGUAGGGGGAUACAAUAUAAGAAAAUAAAAAUAGUGUAGAAAGUAAUCUUACCCCUAAGGAGUUGCAGCUGGGCCAAUUAUCAAAGAUUAGGAGCAGGCCUGACUUUAACAGGCCAUAGCUGUAACCAGUGAGAAGAAGAGAGCUCUUAAAGAGUGGGGUGGCUGGUUGAGAAGGGAACUGGAGUUAGCUGGCUGCUUUGUGAAGGAGAAAGGGUCAGUGCUCUGAGGAGCUGCCCACAGAAAACACCAGGGAGGUAUGAACCUUUUGUGAUAAGGAGACAGCAGUAUGGAAAGGAUGACAACAGAAGGGUGCAGAGAGGUGGGACUGCAAAUGAUGAUUUGGUCCCCGUGCUCCAGCUGGAUGGAGACCAGCCUUGGAUCUUCUCAGAGGCACCCAAGAGGAGCAGGCAGGGAAUCCCUGUGGUCUCAUGGCACUUGUGCUGUGGUUUUAGGGAUUGUCUUUUUCUGAGUGUCUCCUGCUCCCUUGCCUGAGGCACCUGCACCUCCUUCCAUUUAAUAUUUAGGAUGUCUUCUAGGAGGGCUUAAAUAUGCCAUGGAGCUUCCCAGCAGGGUAACAGCCACACUUUAUUACCCAGGCACGUCUCCAUUUGCUUUCCCUUCCUGCUGGGGGCCAGGGAGGGGCAGUGCUGUUUGUUUGGAAAUGCAAUUAGCCCAAGUGCUCGGGCCCAUGGCCAGCCAGGAGGAUAACCUUGAAUCCAGGGAAGUUAGGGGAAAUUUAAAGCCAUCUGCAGCUGCAAUGGGUCCCCACACAGCCCUUUGGCUCUGAGCUUCUAUUCCUGCCAAUAAAGUGCCAGAAGAUUCACACUACAAUGGGAAAUUGCUUCUUUGGGUAUCACAGUAUCUCGACUUAGAAGUGCUUUAACCUUGGCCUCAUGCUUCCUGCGGGGCCUGUUUGCUGUGCUGCACAAGUGCCCACAGCAGCCAGCAAUGUAUAGGAUUUUCCAUCUGAGGAAAAUUAAACCCCAGAACCUUUACCAUCCUCUCGAUGCCAGACAUGCUCUACCUGCAUUAACUUGAGCUUAAUGGACUGCAAAACGAGCCUUUCAGCGUGGAUGGGAGUGGAUUAUUUGCAGGAGAGCAAGUUCCUCACAUUUUUAUCUCUUCCCUUUCCCAAAGCUUUUGUCCUUUGGAAAAAAAAAAAAGAGAGAGAGAAAAGGCAAGCACAGCCAAAUUGUAGGAAGAGAGUCGGGCCCUAGGAAGUCCAGAGAACUGGGCAAGGCAGAGGGUGCCUCCACCAAGUCAGGUAAGUAAUGAAAAGAGCAAUGACCAUUGAUCCCUGUCUCUGAAACCAAACUGAUGUUUAUUAGCCAAGAUCUUGGUGGCAGGGUUGGGGAUGGUACACACACUCCAGGCCACUCUUCAGCACACCAGCUGAGCUCCUCACCCUGGCUUUAUUGCAGCCUUUCCCAAAGUCCUCCAGGUGGGACUGGGGCUGCAAAAGACAGAGCCUGCUGCUGGUGGGAUGCAAGGCAAGAUGGUGUUCCACUGAAGGAGGGGCAGUUUAUACUGGAUUGAAGGAAGAUGGUUUUGCAGUGAGGAUUGUCAGAGCCUGGCACUGGCUGCCCGGAGGUGGUGGCAUCCCCAUCCCUGGAAACAAUCAAGGCCAGGUUGGAUGGAGCUGUGAGCAACUUGGGCUAGUGGAAGGUGUCCCUGCUCACUGCAGGAGGUUGGAUUAGGUGGACUUUAAAGGUCCCUUCUGACCCAAACUAUUCUGUGAGUCUGUGGUCAUUACACAUUGUUUGGAAGGACAAUUUAAAGCCCUGCAAUUUCUUCACCUGCUUCAUUGGAGUUUUGCCUUCCAGAUUCACAAGAUUUUUUUCCCCAAACUCCAGAGGCUUGGAUUUGGCUGUUUCUCCAAACACAGAGCCAAGGCACCACUGAAUCCCUGAAGAGACAAUCCAUAUGGAUAACAGGAUAAUCCCUGUGCAAACUGGGAGGGAGAAUGGGCUGAUGGUUUCUCUUCAAGCUUUCAUGGGUUAGCACUGUCAAGACAAGCAGCAUGGAACAUUGUGUGUGUUUAAUGACCAAAAGUACCUUCACUGUGUCCUUCCCAGUGCCAGAUGCCUUGCAGUCUAAAUGAGGAUCUUUAAUAGAGGCAUUAAUUAUUACUGAAACCCUGCUUUAUCCCACUGAAACAAGUCUAAUAGCUCACACUUGCUCUGCCUCUCUCCUCCUUUCCCCAGAUCACCCUCUCCUGUAUCUGAUGCCAGCAUCAGGAAGGCUCCUUUCACCUGGCUGCUUGGGCCACCAGCACGGGGUGGUGUGCAGAAAAGGUCAGGCACAGGUCCAGCUCCAGGGCUGCUCCCUGAGCUGAGGAUUGGGAAGGAUGCCCUGAAACAGAGAGCAUCACUUGGUGCUGCCACACCCAGGCCCUUGCCUUCUUUUGUGGGAGGCCCAGUGCCCAGAAAAUACCAGCUCACAGGGAUGCCCAUAACUAAUGGAAGUAAUUAAUUAAAUGCAGCUAUCUCUUCCUUACCACAGGGAGGUGAGGCCCUGGCACAGGGUACACAGAGCAGCUGUGGCUGCCCCUGGAUCCCUGGAAGUGCCCAAGGCCAGGCUGGACAGGGCUUGGAGCAGCUUGGGAUAGUGGAAGGUGUCCCUGCCCAUGGCAGGGGUAGAAUGGGAUGAUUUCUGAGGUCCCCUCCUGUAGGAGGAUACAGUGUGGGUAAAUGAAGGGGGUGUAGAAGGUAAUCUUAUCCCCCAAUGAGUUGCAGCUGGAUCAAUUACUAAAGAGUAGAAGCAGGUGUGAUCCUAACAGGCCACACCUGUAGCCAAUAAGAACAAGAGGUAUAAAAGAGUGGCUUGGUGGGGGAAUCUGGAAUGAGAGGAGUCAGAUGGGUGCUGCAGGACCAGGAACAGUCAGAGCAUGGAGGAGCUGCCUGUGAGAAGCACUGGGGAGGUACAAAGCUCUGGGGAUAUGAAAUCCUUGCACUAUAACGACCUUAGAACUCAUGCUAACUAAGACAGCACCUUCCAACCCACACCACUCCCUGAUUCUGUGAAAUAGUGGCCCCAGGGAAGCCAGCACAGUCAGAGCACAUGAACUCCUGAGAAAGGAGAGGCUCUGUCUGUCUCUUGAGCAGCCCUGGAUAAGGCCCAGCCAUGGGUGGCCUGCCCAAAAGAUGAGGCCAUCUCUGCAGAUGGGUGCAGCCAUCACCUGCCCCCAGGGACGAGACCAGUCAGUGCUGGCAGGGGCACCACCUCGUUCUGUGCCAUCCCAAAGGAGCCUGGCUUAGCUUUUGUGUUGGGUUCUGUCUUUCCUUCCAACUUCCUAGUGCUUAAUUAUCCCUUUGUCUGUGUGGGGCUGAGUGAGCUGGCAUCUUCUGAGAGCAGAGCUUUUUUAGGUACUGGACUUAGUCAUGGUAAAAGAUACUUUCUUUAAAAAAAAAAAAAAAAGAAAAAGGGUCCUCUAUCUGCAAGUACAAAUGGUAUAUUUUGGUAUAUAAUUUACCAUAUGGUAUAUUAGAUGGCCCUUGAAAAGUUCUAGGCCAAACCAUUCUAUGAUCCUAAAUUUAUAAAUGCAGGCAAUUCCUUUCCAUGCCUUCCAUCCCCUGUGUUUUAAAAGCUAAGCUUCCACAGCACAAGGAAGCUGGAAUCUUGAUAAAUUUUUCAUUUUCUCUAUUGACUUGCUGUUGCAAACCCAUGUCCUUUUGCUGUGUAAAGGGCACCCAUUUGCCCUGUAUCCACAUGGGCCCUUUAACAACCACCAAAGAGAAACACUUUAUUGCUCUUGCUGUGCUGGAAUCCUGGGAUUUGCUCUUUGCUUUUCCCUCUAGCAGAGCUGUGGCUGCACAGGGGUUGCUGCAGUGGAUCUGUUCUCCAGGGGAUGGUCCCCAGGGCACUCAGCUCACUGUGUGCCACUGAAGCCAUGGUGUGCUGCUGCCUCAGGAGCCCUGGUAGGAUGGAGAGGAGCCAAAGGUGGGGAUUUUCCCAGGCUCAGCCUGGUUUGGAGUGUGCUUUGCAGCUCCCUGGGGGAGAAAGACAUUGCCCUGCUGUGCUCCGGAGCUGAGUCAUUCCCCCUGGGGUGUGCAGGAAAUAAUUCUGCAAUUAUAAAACAAUCUUGACUAAUGGCAUAUUAAUGAGGACAGGGAAAGGUGAUGCUCCUGGGAUGGGCUUUCCCACUGCUAGGAGAAGGAAGAGGGAACUGUACACAGCUGCUGCAUUUGGGGGGCAAAAAUGGCAUCACAUCAGUGAGGUUUGUGUAUGGGAACCCUAAGGAAGGACUUUUCCUGAGCCUGGGUCUGUUUCUUCUGCAAAAUUCACUGUUGUUCUGCUGAAGGUGUUGCCUCUGAGCUGUCCACUCUCUGACCUGCUCUUUUGCUCCAGUUUGAGUCCUUUUGGCUCCUUUUUCCAGCCACAUCUGCUAGGCUGUACCAUUGCUAUCUCCCCUCAUUUUUCCAACCCAUCAACUCUACCUUCCUCUACUUUCUGCCCUACCAAGCCCUCUGCUCUUCUUCACCCCUCAGCAUCUUCCUUCACCUUUAUCCACCUUCUCUCCUGCAUCUCCCACAAACACCUGAUGUGCUUUCAGGAGUGUCAGCCUGGGGGCAAGGGGAGGAUGGUGCCCAUGGAGGGGGUUGUGCUCUCCCAUCUGAUAACAUAUGUCCCAGGUACCUUUCCCUUCAGCUGGCAGCCUCUGGAAGCCCAAGAUGAACCUUUCAACAAGAUUAAAGAGAUGGUAUUAAUUGC
Long non-coding RNA from Haemorhous mexicanus (house finch), 5598 nucleotides. RefSeq lists it as uncharacterized. Lineage: Eukaryota; Metazoa; Chordata; Aves; Passeriformes; Fringillidae. The transcript is spliced from 2 exons. The record is from RefSeq and is a predicted model, not a curated record.